Molecule: long non-coding RNA, 756 nt
Filed under: Parus major (Great Tit)
Lineage: Eukaryota; Metazoa; Chordata; Aves; Passeriformes; Paridae
Description: lncRNA (ENSPMJG00000011630.1)
Source: RNAcentral
AAAAGUCUUUACCUUUAUGAGAGCUUAACAGGCAUAGAGCAUUGUUUAUUAAAGUGGGGAGAAAAAUAAUGUCAGAUUGGACUUGAAAUGUGUUGAGGAAAAAAGACUGAGUUCUCCAUUUAUGAAAACUGAAGUCCUAAGUCUGGUAUUACUCAUUUCAUCUGAAUAACUAAGCAGUAAUGACCAUGGCACAGGCUAUUGCAGGCAAUUAAUGAUCAGUUCUCAGGGUUGAUGGCCUGUGAGGAAGUUAAGGGACAUUAAACUCUGCUAGCUAUUAGUCAUUCAGAUAUUGCCAACUGCUGACUGUAUUGCAGAUUCCUUCCAUUUUUCAAAUAUAGACCUUAAAAUUUCUAUUAAAAAAACCAAACUGUAAUGAUUGUGAGACAGACAUUUCUGCAAAAAUGGCAAAAUAUGAGGCCAGUGUUGUGAUUGCCCAAAGAUCUCUUGAGGAUGUCUUGGCUUCUUGAGUCUGGAUGGCCAAUUAAAGAGAGUGACAAGGCACCUCCACAUUCUUCCAGUUCUCCUGGAUUCACGGUCACCCCCUAUCUGGGAACUGAAUAUUCACAUCCACCAGCAUGAUGUGUCCUAAGAGGAAACAAGGAGGGGGAUAUUGUGUGUUUUCCUUUACUGGUGCACAAGUUUCAGCCCUCUGGGAAGGGACUAAAGGAAUUGGCUGUGAAGCUUCAAAAGAAAACAGCUGGAAGGAGGAGGACAUGGAAGGUCUGACCUUCCCAACGCUAUGAAGCUGGCUGCCCU